CACGAAGGGGGCUAGCGUUGUUCGGAAUUACUGGGCGUAAAGCGCACGUAGGCGGCUUUGUAAGUUAGAGGUGAAAGCCCAGGGCUUAACCCUGGAAUUGCCUUUAAGACUGCAUCGCUAGAAUUGUGGAGAGGUAAGUGGAAUUCCGAGUGUAGAGGUGAAAUUCGUAGAUAUUCGGAAGAACACCAGUGGCGAAGGCGACUUACUGGACACAUAUUGACGCUGAGGUGCGAAAGCGUGGGGAGCAAACAGG
Molecule: ribosomal RNA, 253 nt
Filed under: uncultured bacterium
Lineage: Bacteria
Description: partial 16S ribosomal RNA
Rfam family: Bacterial small subunit ribosomal RNA
Source: RNAcentral